CCGGCGACCGGCGCACGGGUGAGUAACACGUAUGGAACCUGCCCGCAGCAGGGGGAUAAGCGGAAGAAAUUCCGUCUAAUACCGCGUAACAACGUUGGGAGGCAUCUCCCGAUGUUUAAAGAUUUAUCGGCUGCGGAUGGCCAUGCGGCGCAUUAGCUAGUCGGCGGGGUAACGGCCCACCGAGGCGACGAUGCGUAGGGGUUCCGAGAGGAAGGUCCCCCACACUGGUACUGAGACACGGACCAGACUCCUACGGGAGGCAGCAG
Molecule: ribosomal RNA, 266 nt
Filed under: uncultured bacterium
Lineage: Bacteria
Description: partial 16S ribosomal RNA
Rfam family: Bacterial small subunit ribosomal RNA
Source: RNAcentral